RNAcentral lists this unclassified non-coding RNA (346 nucleotides) under soil metagenome. RNAcentral's name for it is "partial contains 5.8S ribosomal RNA, internal transcribed spacer 2, and large subunit ribosomal RNA". The stretch from base 1 to 120 matches the Rfam family "5.8S ribosomal RNA", at positions 35 to 154 of the family's 154-position model. The record is from RNAcentral.
GAUGAAGAACGUAGCGAAAUGCGAUAAGUAAUGUGAAUUGCAGAAUUCAGUGAAUCAUCGAAUCUUUGAACGCACAUUGCGCCCUCUGGUAUUCCGGGGGGCAUGCCCGUUCGAGCGUCAUUACACCUCUCAAGCCUAGCUUGGUAUUGGAGGCUUGCAGACUUCUUGAAAGGCUGCUCCUCUCGAAGUGACCGGCCGAGUCAGUCGUUUCUCCGGCGUUGUGCAUUACCAAAUGUCGCCUGUAAGAAACCGAAGGAUUUUGCGCCGUAAAACACCCAAUUUCAAAGGUUGACCUCGAAUCGGGUAGGGAUACCCGCUGAACUUAAGCAUAUCAAUAAGCGGAGGA